AGGGAAUUUUCCGCAAUGGGCGAAAGCCUGACGGAGCAACGCCGCGUGAGGGAAGAAGGUCUUCGGAUCGUAAACCUUUGUCAUCGAGGACGAUAAUGACGGUACUCGAGGAGGAAGCCCCGGCUAACUACGUGCCAGCAGCCGCGGUAACACGUAGGGGGCGAGCGUUGUCCGGAAUUACUGGGCGUAAAGGGCGCGUAGGCGGCCUAAUAAGUCAGAUGUGAAACCCCCGGGCUCAACCCUGGACGUGCACUUGAAACUGGUCAGCUUGAGUGCAGGAGAGGAAAGUGGAAUUCCCAGUGUAGCGGUGAAAUGCGUAGAUAUUGGGAGGAACACCAGUGGCGAAGGCGACUGUCUGGCCUGUAACUGACGCUGAGGCGCGAAAGCUAGGGGAGCAAACA
RNAcentral lists this ribosomal RNA (401 nucleotides) under uncultured Bacillota bacterium. Its description in RNAcentral is "bacterial SSU rRNA". It matches the Rfam family "Bacterial small subunit ribosomal RNA", at positions 356 to 774 of the family's 1533-position model. Lineage: Bacteria; Bacillati; Bacillota. The record is from RNAcentral.